GAUGAACGCUGGCGGCGUGCCUAAUACAUGCAAGUCGAGCGAACAGAUGAGGAGCUUGCUCCUCUGACGUUAGCGGCGGACGGGUGAGUAACACGUGGAUAACCUACCUAUAAGACUGGGAUAACUUCGGGAAACCGGAGCUAAUACCGGAUAAUAUAUUGAACCGCAUGGUUCAAUAGUGAAAGACGGUUUUGCUGUCACUUAUAGAUGGAUCCGCGCCGCAUUAGCUAGUUGGUAAGGUAACGGCUUACCAAGGCGACGAUGCGUAGCCGACCUGAGAGGGUGAUCGGCCACACGGGAACUGAGACACGGUCCAGACUCCUACGGGAGGCAGCAGUAGGGAAUCUUCCGCAAUGGGCGAAAGCUUGACGGAGCAACGCCGCGUGAGUGAUGAAGGUCUUCGGAUCGUAAAACUCUGUUAUUAGGGAAGAACAAAUGUGUAAGUAACUAUGCACGUCUUGACGGUACCUAAUCAGAAAGCCACGGCUAACUACGUG
Molecule: ribosomal RNA, 497 nt
Filed under: uncultured bacterium
Lineage: Bacteria
Description: partial 16S ribosomal RNA
Rfam family: Bacterial small subunit ribosomal RNA
Source: RNAcentral